RNAcentral lists this transfer RNA (74 nucleotides) under Neoehrlichia mikurensis. RNAcentral's name for it is "Candidatus Neoehrlichia mikurensis tRNA-Arg". It matches the Rfam family "tRNA". Rfam says of the family: Transfer RNA (tRNA) molecules are approximately 80 nucleotides in length. Their secondary structure includes four short double-helical elements and three loops (D, anti-codon, and T loops). Further hydrogen bonds mediate the characteristic L-shaped molecular structure. tRNAs have two regions of fundamental functional importance: the anti-codon, which is responsible for specific mRNA codon recognition, and the 3' end, to which the tRNAs corresponding amino acid is attached (by aminoacyl-tRNA synthetases). tRNAs cope with the degeneracy of the genetic code in two manners: having more than one tRNA (with a specific anti-codon) for a particular amino acid; and 'wobble' base-pairing, i.e. permitting non-standard base-pairing at the 3rd anti-codon position. The record is from RNAcentral. Lineage: Bacteria; Pseudomonadati; Pseudomonadota; Alphaproteobacteria; Rickettsiales; Anaplasmataceae.
GGGGCCGUAGCUCAGUAGGAUAGAGCAUCAGAUUCCUAAUCUGAUUGUCGUGCGUUCGAAUCGCACCGGUCCCA